GACGAGCCACCCGAACGUUAUUCGGAAUUACUGGGCUUAAAGGGUGCGUAGGCGGUGUAGCAAGUCGGGAGUGAAAUACCCCAGCUUAACUGAGGAAUUGCUUUCGAUACUGCUGCGCUUGAGUGAGACAGAGGUAAGCGGAACUUAGGGUGGAGCGGUGAAAUGCGUUGAUAUCCUAAGGAACACCGGUGGCGAAGGCGGCUUACUGGGUCUCAACUGACGCUGAGGCACGAAAGCCAGGGUAGCAAACGGG
Molecule: ribosomal RNA, 253 nt
Filed under: uncultured bacterium
Lineage: Bacteria
Description: partial 16S ribosomal RNA
Rfam family: Bacterial small subunit ribosomal RNA
Source: RNAcentral